RNA transcript from Zingiber officinale, 2663 nucleotides. It is a transcript of the gene named probable inactive purple acid phosphatase 28, with no coding region annotated. The record is from RefSeq and is a predicted model, not a curated record. NCBI's taxonomy places the organism in Eukaryota, Viridiplantae, Streptophyta, Magnoliopsida, Zingiberales, Zingiberaceae. The transcript has 6 exons.
CCCCUUCGUCAACGCGCGAUUUCGCAGGAGAAGAGGAUGCGCCGGCGUCCAUGGCGUCGAUCCUUCUUUUCGCAUCUCGUACUCAUCCUUUUCUUCCUCCCCCUCGUUCUCUUCCUCUGCCUCUCCCUUCUGUGGGUCGCAUUUUUGGGCGCUGACGCCGUACCGAGGGUGAAGAGAUCAGCUGAGCUCCCACUUCGAUUCCGAUCCGAUGGCAGCUUCAAGAUCCUUCAGGUGGCUGAUAUGCAUUAUGGGAACGGGCUGGUGACCCGGUGUCGAGACGUAUUGCCGUCGGAGUCCUCCCGAUGCACCGAUGUCAACUCGACGGUGUUCCUAAAGAGGAUGAUCGAAGCGGAGAGGCCCGAUCUGAUUGCAUUCACAGGGGAUAACAUAUUUGGCGCCAGCGCUACGGAUGCUGCAGAAUCCCUUUUCAAAGUCUUUAGACCUGCCAUGGAAUCCAGGAUUCCCUGGGCAGCAAUCUUGGGCAAUCAUGAUCAGGAGUCAACCAUGCCAAGAGUGGAGUUGAUGUCAUUUAUCUCACUUAUGGAUUAUUCAGUGGCCCAAGUAAAUCCAUCAGGUUUUUUGGUAGAUGGAUAUGGGAAUUACGACAUCAAUGUGCAUGGAGCAUGGGAUUCUGGACUGGCUAAUACCAGCGUUCUCAAUCUCUACUUCCUUGACAGUGGUGAUCGUGCUAUGGUCGGUGGACGGAGAACUUAUGGAUGGAUAAAGGAUUCUCAAUUGACUUGGCUUCGAGCUGUUUCUGAAGAUCUACAGAGCAGGUACCCAGCUCCUUCGCUAUCAUUCUUCCACAUUCCAAUUCCAGAGGUUCGAGAGCUGUGGUUUAAGGGUUUCGUAGGCCAGUUCCAAGAGGCAAUUGCUUGUUCUUCUGUCAACUCUGGGGUCCUUCAGACCCUUGUCUCCAUGGGAGAUGUAAAGGCAGUAUUCAUUGGCCAUGACCAUCUGAAUGAUUUCUGUGGAAACUUAGAUGGUAUAUGGUUCUGCUAUGGCGGUGGCUUCGGUUAUCAUGGGUAUGGAAAACCCAGUUGGCGAAGGCGAGCAAGGGUAGUUUUGGCUCAACUUGGAAAAGGGAAAGGGACAUGGAUGGGCGUUGAGGUGAUCAAGACCUGGAAGCGGUUGGAUGAUGAUAAGCUGACUAAGAUCGAUGAGCAGGUGCUUUGGAGACGAGAUCCAUGGGAGGACCAAUGACAUUUAUGCCUCUCGGUGCCUUGCACAUCACUCGAAAAGAAGUAUCUUUCUUGCUUAGGUCCAUUUGUUUAGAUGGUAUAUGGUUCCGCUAUGGAGGCGGCUUCAGUUGUUUUGCAACGGGUUAGCGAAGGCGAGCAAUGGUAGUUUCUGCCAAACCUGGAAAUCGUUAAGGCACAUGGAUGGAGAUCGAGAUGAAGUGAUCCUCCGGAGGAACCUUAACAUUUACGCAGCAUGGUGUCUUGCGUUUCAUUUUUGGUGGUGAUGAGAUCGAUCGCGGCGGAGCAAGCGAAAGAUCCGGCCACAAACAGCGCCGCCGCCGCAAGCAGAAGCGCCUUCGCCCGCAGCCCCGCUGCUAGGAUAGCCGCCCCAACGGCCGCGGCGGCGGCCGCGAGCAGCGCCUUGUUCCACCCCCGGAACGCCUUCAGGUCAUUCCUGCACUGCUUGCAGUGCACCACGUGGCGGUAGUACCGGUUCGCCGGGUUCGGCGCGUGCCGCUCGCCAACGCCUCCCUUGGCCGGGAACGUGGCGGACAUCCCCGCGACCACGCCGACCGGCGCCUGCUCCACCACCGCCGGCUCCUUCGGCGGGGAGAUAGUCGCGUGCCCGAAGUGGUACGGCAUGCCGUGGCCGGCGCGGUCCAUCCACUUUCGGUACUCCGCCACCCACGUGUCCGACGAUCUCAGGUUUAGGUAGAGGUCUCUGGUGGGGCGGCGCUCCUUCACGAGCACCUCGUUCUGCGACGAGAGGAAGCCCAUGUCCUGCUCGAAGACGCUGCAUUGGUUCUGGUGGAUGAACCAGUCGGGGAUGAGCUUGAAGAAGCCUGGCCGGGCGCUGGCGCCGAACCGGGCAAUGAGCAUUGACUUCCCCUGCCCCGUCGGCCGGCAGAGGAACAACGCCGACAGGUACUGCUUCUCUCCCUUCUUGUCGAUUUGUUCUACAUCGUUGGAGAGGACGCAGGGGGCUUGAAAGCGGAGGAAGCUCCACUGCCCGGGCCGCGUCCUUGGCCGCCCCCACCGGCCGGCGAAGCCGCGGGCGGUGCGCUCGGUGACCUCGAACUCCAGCGGCUGCGCCUCCUCACGGCGGGCGGACCAGUCAGUGCGGUCGUGGGAGAUCGGCACGUGCGCCGGGUCCAUCAAGUUCUCGAGAAGGAUGGAGUGGUCGUAGGGCAGCUCAUGGACGGAGGAAAUGGCCUGAAAUCCCGGCCGGUCGUAGUGCUCGAACCAUGGCAGUUUCAAGUUCACCGGCGGGGUCUUGUCCGACAUCCAAACCCACACCACCCCCUGCGAAUCGCGCACCUCGUACGACCUCACGCACGCCGCGCGAGGGAUCUUCGCCGACUCCGGCAGCUGCGGGAUCUUCACGCACCGGCCUUCGCCGGCGAACUGCCAGCCGUGGUAGAGGCACUCCAGGCGUCCAUCCACCAAUUGCCCCUCCGACAGCUUCGCCAAUCUGCAUCAAAA